This 484-nucleotide ribosomal RNA is filed under the name uncultured bacterium. Its description in RNAcentral is "partial 16S ribosomal RNA". It matches the Rfam family "Bacterial small subunit ribosomal RNA", at positions 30 to 507 of the family's 1533-position model. The record is from RNAcentral.
AUUGAACGCUGGCGGCAGGCCUAACACAUGCAAGUCGAGCGGAUGAAGGGAGCUUGCUCCUGGAUUCAGCGGCGGACGGGUGAGUAAUGCCUAGGAAUCUGCCUGGUAGUGGGGGAUAACGUCCGGAAACGGGCGCUAAUACCGCAUACGUCCUGUGGGAGAAAGUGGGGGAUCUUCGGACCUCACGCUAUCAGAUGAGCCUAGGUCGGAUUAGCUAGUUGGUGGGGUAAAGGCCUACCAAGGCGACGAUCCGUAACUGGUCUGAGAGGAUGAUCAGUCACACUGGAACUGAGACACGGUCCAGACUCCUACGGGAGGCAGCAGUGGGGAAUAUUGGACAAUGGGCGAAAGCCUGAUCCAGCCAUGCCGCGUGUGUGAAGAAGGUCUUCGGAUUGUAAAGCACUUUAAGUUGGGAGGAAGGACAGUAAGUUAAUACCUUGCUGUUUUGACGUUACCAACAGAAUAAGCACCGGCUAACUUCGUG